CGUGAACGCUGGCGGUAGGCCUAACACAUGCAAGUCGAACGGCAGCACAGUAAGAGCUUGCUCUUACGGGUGGCGAGUGGCGGACGGGUGAGGAAUACAUCGGAAUCUACUUUUUCGUGGGGGAUAACGUAGGGAAACUUACGCUAAUACCGCAUAUGACCUACGGGUGAAAGCAGUGGAUCUUCGGACCUUGCGCGAUUGAAUGAGCCGAUGUCGGAUUAGCUAGUUGGCGGGGUAAAGGCCCACCAAGGCGACGAUCCGUAGCUGGUCUGAGAGGAUGAUCAGCCACACUGGAACUGAGACACGGUCCAGACUCCUACGGGAGGCAGCAGUGGGGAAUAUUGGACAAUGGGCGCAAGCCUGAUCCAGCCAUACCGCGUGGGUGAAGAAGGCCUUCGGGUUGUAAAGCCCUUUUGUUGGGAAAGAAAAGCAGCAGGUUAAUACCCCGCUGUUCUGACGGUACCCAAAGAAUAAGCACCGGCUAACUUCGUG
RNAcentral lists this ribosomal RNA (492 nucleotides) under uncultured bacterium. RNAcentral describes it as "partial 16S ribosomal RNA". It matches the Rfam family "Bacterial small subunit ribosomal RNA", at positions 29 to 507 of the family's 1533-position model. The record is from RNAcentral.